CAGUCGAACGGAGAUACGCGCUGAAUGACGAAGCUUGCUUUUGAAUUCUUGCCGUUCUUAGUGGCGGACGGGUGAGUAACGCGUGAGCAACCUGCCUUUCAGAGGGGGAUAACGUUUGGAAACGAACGCUAAUACCGCAUGAGACUACGGUACUACAUGGUACAGUGGCCAAAGGAGCAAUCCGCUGAAAGAUGGGCUCGCGUCCGAUUAGAUAGUUGGCGGGGUAACGGCCCACCAAGUCGACGAUCGGUAGCCGGAUUGAGAGGUUGAACGGCCACAUUGGGACUGAGACACGGCCCAGACUCCUACGGGAGGCAGCAGUGAGGGAUAUUGGUCAAUGGGGGAAACCCUGAACCAGCAACGCCGCGUGAGGGAAGACGGUUUUCGGAUUGUAAACCUCUGUCCUCUGUGAAGAUAAUGACGGUAGCAGAGGAGGAAGCUCCGGCUAACUACGUGCCAGCAGCCGCGGUAAUACGUAGGGAGCAAGCGUUGUCCGGAUUUACUGGGUGUAAAGGGUGCGUAGGCGGCCCUGCAAGUCAGAAGUGAAAUCCAUGGGCUUAACCCGUGAACUGCUUUUGAAACUGUAGGGCUUGAGUGAAGUAGAGGCAGGCGGAAUUCCCGGUGUAGCGGUGAAAUGCGUAGAGAUCGGGAGGAACACCAGUGGCGAAGGCGGCCUGCUGGGCUUUAACUGUGACGCUGAACACGAAAGCGUGGGUGGAAACAGGAUUAGAUACCCUGGUAGUCCACGCCGUAAACGAUGAUUACUAGGUGUGGGGGGUCUGACCCCCUCCGUGCCGGAGUUAACACAAUA
RNAcentral lists this ribosomal RNA (811 nucleotides) under uncultured bacterium. RNAcentral's name for it is "bacterial SSU rRNA". It matches the Rfam family "Bacterial small subunit ribosomal RNA", at positions 59 to 862 of the family's 1533-position model. The record is from RNAcentral.